CCGGCUAACUACGUGCCAGCAGCCGCGGUAAUACGUAGGGUGCGAGCGUUAAUCGGAAUUACUGGGCGUAAAGCGUGCGCAGGCGGUUCGUUAAGACAGAUGUGAAAUCCCCGGGCUUAACCUGGGAACUGCAUUUGUGACUGGCGAGCUAGAGUAUGGCAGAGGGGGGUAGAAUUCCACGUGUAGCAGUGAAAUGCGUAGAGAUGUGGAGGAAUACCGAUGGCGAAGGCAGCCCCCUGGGCCAAUACUGACGCUCAUGCACGAAAGCGUGGGGAGCAAACAGGAUUAGAUACCCUGGUAGUCCACGCCCUAAACGAUGUCAACUAGUUGUUGGGGAUUCAUNNCCUUAGUAACGUAGCUAACGCGUGAAGUUGACCGCCUGGGGAGUACGGUCGCAAGAUUAAAACUCAAAGGAAUUGACGGGGACCCGCACAAGCGGUGGAUGAUGUGGAUUAAUUCGAUGCAACGCGAAAAACCUUACCUACCCUUGACAUGGUCGGAACCCUGCUGAAAGGUGGGGGUGCUCGAAAGAGAACCGAUACACAGGUGCUGCA
Molecule: ribosomal RNA, 554 nt
Filed under: uncultured beta proteobacterium
Lineage: Bacteria; Pseudomonadati; Pseudomonadota; Betaproteobacteria
Description: bacterial SSU rRNA
Rfam family: Bacterial small subunit ribosomal RNA
Source: RNAcentral